Molecule: ribosomal RNA, 427 nt
Filed under: uncultured bacterium
Lineage: Bacteria
Description: partial 16S ribosomal RNA
Rfam family: Bacterial small subunit ribosomal RNA
Source: RNAcentral
UGGGGAAUAUUGGACAAUGGGCGAAAGCCUGAUCCAGCCAUGCCGCGUGUGUGAAGAAGGUCUUCGGAUUGUAAAGCACUUUAAGUUGGGAGGAAGGGCAUUAACCUAAUACGUUAGUGUUUUGACGUUACCGACAGAAUAAGCACCGGCUAACUCUGUGCCAGCAGCCGCGGUAAUACAGAGGGUGCAAGCGUUAAUCGGAAUUACUGGGCGUAAAGCGCGCGUAGUUGGUUUGUUAAGUUGGAUGGGAAAUCCCCGGGCUCAACCUGGGAACUGCAUUCAAAACUGACUGACUAGAGUAUGGUAGAGGGUGGUGGAAUUUCCUGUGUAGCGGUGAAAUGCGUAGAUAUAGGAAGGAACACCAGUGGCGAAGGCGACCACCUGGACUAAUACUGACACUGAGGUGCGAAAGCGUGGGGAGCAAACA